CGAAUUUUAACAGAAGAAUUGAUCAAGCUCUAGAUCAACUGCGCCAGGGAAACUGAUCAAUAUUAUCGCGGGUCAUGCAUAGCGCUGAUUCCCAGCUGCGCUGAGACCCGAAAUGUUUGCAGUGUGUGCCACAGUUCCACAUUUUGGAGUCAUAGACGUUAGUUUGGAGUCAUAGAAGUUAGAUGCAACCAUGUCUUUUGUUGUGAUGGUGGCACUGCUGUUCUGUUCUGAGACACUCGGGUCACAUCCUGUGUUUGGAGAGGAGGAUAAUAUAUAUACUUAUGAUGAUGAUGAUGAUGACGGCUGGAAUGCAUCGGAGAUGGAAGGCGAUUUCUUUAAUCCAUUCAUGGAAAUAGAAGAAUUCUUUUAUUAUCCAUUGUUUGCAGUUAACCUGAUAGUGGUCUCCAUGUUCAACAACUCAGACUCCUGUAACCUUACUGUGACCUGCAGUGCACAUAACUUUGAAAUCAACAGCAUUUUUAAAUGUGAUAACAAAUCCUGCCAUCAAGAGGGAGGAGAACAAAGAGAGACCUGGGAAUGGCCCAGUGUUUCUCUUCAUGUCUACCUGUCAGAUGGAUCCAUCAUAUGUAACCAUAGCAAUAAAGUAAAGUGGACCAAGGACAUGGUAGAGAUUGGACAUUUUUGUCCUCAAAAUGCUGGUUCUGAGAGUUUCUCUGACGGUGUCUCCUUCUGUAUGGUGAAGACAGUCGUGUUCUCUGUUAGUCUGAUCAUCAUGGUGUCUGCUGUCAUCAGUGUUCACCUCAUAAAGAAAUUUCAGAUGCAAAACUAAAGAAAAAAAAAAAAGGACGCACAUCUAUGCAUGAAACCGUUCAUAUACCUUUACAUGAACCCCACAGGGCAUGUAUGAUUAGUUGUCAAUGAAGUCCACCAAAUGCUUAGUUUAUAAAUAGAACUGCUUUUUGCUGAUGUUAAAAAUGUUUUUUUAGGAUUUCAUCGUAGGAAAAAAGUAUUUGGGAGGCUAAGCAGGUUUUUGACUUUUGAAUGUUUGGUAUAUAUCACUCUUGAUUGUAGACAUUUCUCCUGUUUGCUAUUUA
Oreochromis aureus is the source of this 1055-nucleotide long non-coding RNA. Lineage: Eukaryota; Metazoa; Chordata; Actinopteri; Cichliformes; Cichlidae. The record is from Ensembl.